Molecule: ribosomal RNA, 264 nt
Filed under: uncultured bacterium
Lineage: Bacteria
Description: partial 16S ribosomal RNA
Rfam family: Bacterial small subunit ribosomal RNA
Source: RNAcentral
UACAACGAGUCGCAAGCUCGCGAGAGUAAGCUAAUCUCUUAAAGCCGUUCUCAGUUCGAACUGUAGGCUGCAACUCGCCUACACGAAGUCGGAAUCGCUAGUAAUCGCGGAUCAGCAUGCCGCGGUGAAUACGUUCCCGGGCCUUGUACACACCGCCCGUCACACCAUGGGAGUUUGUAACGCCCAAAGUCGGUGGCCUAACCUUUAUGGAGGGAGCCGCCUAAGGCGGGACAGAUGACUGGGGUGAAGUCGUAACAAGGUAAC